This 329-nucleotide ribosomal RNA is filed under the name uncultured Pseudomonadota bacterium. RNAcentral describes it as "bacterial SSU rRNA". It matches the Rfam family "Bacterial small subunit ribosomal RNA", at positions 30 to 351 of the family's 1533-position model. The record is from RNAcentral. Lineage: Bacteria; Pseudomonadati; Pseudomonadota.
AUUGAACGCUGGCGGCAGGCCUAACACAUGCAAGUCGAGCGGCAGCGGGAGAGUAGCUUGCUACUUUUGCCGGCGAGCGGCGGACGGGUGAGUAAUGCUUGGGGAUCUGCCCAAUCGUGGGGGAUAACCAUUGGAAACGAUGGCUAAUACCGCAUACGCCCUACGGGGGAAAGCAGGGGACCUUCGGGCCUUGCGCGAUUGGAUGAACCCAAGUGAGAUUAGCUUGUUGGUGAGGUAACGGCUCACCAAGGCGACGAUCUCUAACUGGUCUGAGAGGAUGACCAGUCACACUGGGACUGAGACACGGCCCAGACUCCUACGGGAGGCAG